UUCGCCAGCGGAUAGAACGCGACUAUCGCGUUGAAAAUAUCACUGCUGAAUCCGCCGGCGAUACGCCUACGAUUUUCGCAACGAGUUUUUUCAUUUUUUUCACUGCGAUUUCCGCCGUCUAUUCGCCCGCGAUACGCCUACGAUUUUUGCAACGAGAUUUUUCAUUUUUUUCACUGCGAUUUCUGCCUUCUAUUCGCCGGCGAAUCGAACGCGAUUUUCGCGACCGCGAUUUCCGCCGGCGAUUCGCGUUCGGCGUGUUUACCGGGUAUUUCCAUACUGCAUGGAGGAAGAUCCUAUACUCGUAUCGUUUUCAUGAAUGAAUUAGUUUUUGGUAUAUAAUCAAACUGGUUACUCUUCUGAUGAAAUACGCCCGCACAUCGAAAGGAAAAGUUCACCGACAGGAAAUUUAAUUGACAGCUCAUUAAGCCGAUCUUGCAUAUUACACAUGUUAGUCACGUAAUUCGCGUUGUGAUACAUGGUGAGGCGAGGUGCUGUCUAUCUAUCCACUAUAUUUGAAUGAGCAGAAAGAAAUGCAGUAAACUUGUCCUGGAAUCUCGAACGUUGUGCCAAAAUUUCUCCUCUUUGCAGCUUUCUUCCGCUACAAUAGUUAUUCUCAUUUGUGACCAGCGAAGGAUAAUAGGAUCAAAAAUCGCGAAAACGAUGGGUAUUAUGGUCGACGCACGAAGAUAUACAAACAUUCAACUAGUUGAGCUAAAGGUGUUGCCGAUUUGGGGUUUCAACUGGAGAACAACGCGAAUAUAUUUUGAAAGACGUGUCGAAGAAGUUGCCUACUCUCAACUCAAGGCACAAACAUUAUUCAGAAUACGUGAACAUAAUAUGCACUGAGGAGAUUCAAAUGCACGUGACUGGGGUACGUUCUAGAGAAUUGUUUUCAUUCAAUAUCUGUUUUAAAAUUUCUUCAUUACUUUUUUUGGAAUUCAAUUAUUGAAAAUUUCGAGGCUUUUGUUUGAAUUUUUAAAAAAUUAUUAUGGUAAAUAAAAUUUUAAUUUUUAAAAAAUAAUUUGAUAUUUAAAUUCUAUUUAUACUGGUCUGAGUUUUAAAUAACAGCCACGGUCCACAAUUUCGAAGGAUAAAAUACAAUAUAUUUUACAAUUUGAGAAAAAAAAUUUUGCACUUUUUUUUAAUCAAUUGACAUUAACUGAAUCUGAUUUUAACUUCUCAAAUGCUAUUUCGCUAUAUUGUUAUCUCAGCCUCUUGUAAAAUUUUAUUUCAUGGACUCAACCAAUCACAAAACAAUAAAAUCAAAUACGGCCACUUCCAUUUUUGAACCAAUCAAAUCACCAGUUUGGCGCCUAACCCAAAAAAGGUUUUCAGUGGAGAGUGGCAAAAUUUGAAAAUCUGCUCAAAUAUCAUAUUGUGUCAUAACAAAAUAAUAUUUUAUUAUGCAUUUUUGAGUCUCCCAAGACUGCAGUUGAUAUCAAUCAUUCUUGCAUUAUAAACCCAGAGGAAGUUCGAACAGUCGCGAGGCAAAAUUCAAAAAUGACUUUAGCGCAAUAUAAAAUUCACAACAAAAACGUACACAAAACAUUUUUUAUUUUGUAGUAUACAAAUGUAUAACGUUGAAGCACACGCCGAGAAAAAAAAAUCAAAACUUUAAAAGCUACAACAACUUAACAUUUAGAUCUUAACGGUGAUGGGUUAUUUAUCGCGUAAAAACGUAAAUUAUCCUCAAAAUAUAAGAUGUUAAAAAAAAAGAAAAACAAAAAAAAAAUAAUAAUAAAAAAAUCAGUAAUCGUAAAUACAUUUAUAAAGAACCACAUAACGUUGGAAAUUCCAAUUUGGUACUUUUUUCGCGUAAACUGGGAGAUCAAAAAAUUAAUCGUAACUAUAAAAGAAAAAAAAAUUACUAAAAUAUAAAUCUUAAUUUCUUAUUCAUUAAAUUUCAGUUCUGUGAAAUAACAUCGUUAUGCAAUAAUAAAACAUUUACGCAUUUACAACCCCGUGAUUAUGAUUAAAAUUCAAUUCCUUUUUUUUUCGAACGAAAUGAUAGGAAUAUAAAAACGCUCAUUUCGAUACAUUUAUCUCAUCCGUGAUAUUGAUUUGCUCUUUUGUGUGUUUUUCUCAUUUAACAUUCAUUCGCAGAGGUGUAAAAAAUGGCAAAUGAGAGAACAAAUGAAAUUAAAAAUCGAAAAAAUCCGAUUUUUUCUCCAAAUUUACAUAGAAUACGAGUACCAAGGUGAUCCUAAUUACAUCUGAAUUAAUUCUCUCAGCACCGAUGCCUUUUCUUUACACCUCUGCUUCAGCGUCACCUUAUUGUUAGGCUUAGUCAACAUACCACAAGUAAUAUUUUAGCUGUCUUCACAUCGAAGUACAUAUCACAGCGAACACAAAUCAUAGUACAAUACACCGCGUCGCUAUUAUGGCCCUAUGAAUUUCAUAUAUGCUUAAAAAAUACAAUUUAUAUUCGAAGACAAUCAUCAAAUACAAUAUGUAUCUAAUCUAGCAUUUAAAUUUCUAAAAAAAAAAGUUCCCAGUCGUCGUUGACACAGCCGCAGCUUCACAUUGGCAACACAACGAUGUCAAUUAGAGCAUACGUAAUCUGCAUAUGCUGCAGAUAAACAUAAAAUAUUUACGAGAUAAAUCGAUCGGAUGAAAAUUUUCCCUUUGAUAUCAUUCAGCGAGCGUGAUUGUUUUUUUUCUCACUUCCUUCCUGCGUCGUCGAAUCCGUUAAUACGCAACACGAUAAAUUACAACCCACAUCAUCAACAUAGCUAGUACAAUAUCAUUCAAAUUAACCGUCGAUUUAGAUUAAAAAAAAAAAAAAAUACAACC
Molecule: long non-coding RNA, 2793 nt
Organism: Planococcus citri (citrus mealybug)
Lineage: Eukaryota; Metazoa; Arthropoda; Insecta; Hemiptera; Pseudococcidae
Exons: 4
Source: RefSeq, a predicted model, not a curated record